This 164-nucleotide ribosomal RNA is filed under the name Strobilanthes fruticulosa. RNAcentral describes it as "Hemigraphis fruticulosa 5.8S ribosomal RNA". It matches the Rfam family "5.8S ribosomal RNA". From Rfam's summary of the family: 5.8S ribosomal RNA (5.8S rRNA) is a component of the large subunit of the eukaryotic ribosome. It is transcribed by RNA polymerase I as part of the 45S precursor that also contains 18S and 28S rRNA. Lineage: Eukaryota; Viridiplantae; Streptophyta; Magnoliopsida; Lamiales; Acanthaceae. The record is from RNAcentral.
AAACGACUCUCGGCAACNGAUAUCUCGGCUCUCGCAUCGAUGAAGAACGUAGCGAAAUGCGAUACUUGGUGUGAAUUGCAGAAUCCCGUGAACCAUCGAGUCUUUGAACGCAAGUUGCGCCCGAAGCCUUCGGGCCGAGGGCACGCCUGCCUGGGCGUCACGCA